CCAGAUACAGUGCGUUUCGCAAAUGAACGGAACUUGGCUUAGAAUACAGCUCUAUAAUUUGAAUGAAUAUAUUGAAUUACCAUCUUGACUUGAUUUAUUGAAACAACUUUGAAACAUGCUAACACAACUUAUUUAUUUCUCAGCUUAUUUCGAAUUUAUACUACCGAACCGCACUGUCCCACACAUGCUCACACAUUUGGAUGAAACCGGCUUUGAUUUCUAAUUAUUGGGGAUCGGUUUGCUUUUUCUGGGUCUAAAGUUUUUUUUUCUUUUUGAUAUUUGAUUCGAUGGCUCGUGAGCUUUAAAUUAACAGCGGAAAUAGCUGAAGCGAUAAUGCCAAUAAAAACGCUUAAGACUUUUAGUUUUUCCCUAGAAAGGCGUUUAUUUUCGAACUUAAUUCCAAUUAAACGAUGGUUUAUUGUCUCCGGCAGAUAAUAAGGCGUAAAGGGUGUUUAGGCUUAGGCUCACUUGCUGUGGGAGCGACCAGAUUGAAACUGGGCUUUAUGUUUAUGGCCAACUUUAGGGUUUCUGUUCUGGGUUCCCUGUCUGAAUGUAAUAACUCAAUGUCAGCUCGUGGGCGAAGGAAAACAAAGGCAAGGCAGCCAGGAGGACGACGCAUAGGAGAGAUUCAUUCAAGGCAGCAUAAUGAAGCAUGAAAAGCUUAAGCUUCAACAGACAAUGCGACGUCUGCAGUCCAGGCACAAAAGGUAUGAAAUAUACAUACAUAUAUAUAAUCCUAGACCCUGUGGCCCUCUUCCUUCUGGGAUUUACAACUCAUUAGACGAUGCAAAACCAUCGUUUGGCAUUCAAGACACGGAGGAUAACACCGAAAACACCUCCAUUCAUCGAAUGAAUCAUCUCGCGGUCUUAAAUCCGUUAAUAGGCAAAUCAUGUACCAGCAGACCACCAAUUGUCCAACAGGUUUUCCUUAUAAUUUUAUUAUCAUCAUGCUCCGUUCGAAUUCGAGUUCCAGUUCGAAUCCCCGAGUCCAAAGUUGGAGUGUUACCUUUUCGAUUGUGAUUCAUAAUUGUUACAAGUGCUUACGAAAAGGGCUUGGUCUCUGUCUCUGCACAAUUGAAAUGUAUUGAGCAUAUGUGCACAUGUAAAUGGCUCGAAAAGUGCUUGUAAUUAGUCAGCAUAUGUCGGGCUGUCAUAUGGAAAGGGGAAUCAAAUUUGGGAUUAUUGUUUCCAAGAAUUUUGAAUGCCCUCCUAAUUGAUUGCUUUUGGUUAUAAAAAAAGGGUUGACUAAAAAAUAUUACUUUACAUUCAAGGUAACAAAAAUAGUUUGCAUUAUGAUAUUUUGUUAAGUUUAUCUAGAGUGUUCCCUAAUAUACCCUGCGCAUCAAGGGGUAGCAUCCUUAAACAAGUAACUGUAAUCAGGCUUAAGCUUCUCGGUCAGUUAGCCUACGGUCAUUUGCCACUGCAACUGGCAACCGCAAGAGAAGUCAGGUUGUAUUCCAAGGUCCAGGAACAGAGUCAUGCCAUCCGAUCAUUUUCGGAACUGAAAAGAAGGCUAACAUAUGUCAGAGUCAGGUUUCCCCAACCCCAGAAGACGGCCAAAACCAACAGAAGAAGACGAGGCUUAUCAAAAACAUUUUGGCUUUGGCGCCAAUUUCGUGUUAAAUAAAAUGCAGCGCGAAGAUUUAUAAAGGCAUAAAGACAGCGAUUGGAAACGGGACCACCCAACAUAUUCAAAAAUAUUCAGCUUCGCUUGCUAAUUUGUCAGCAUUGAAAGGGUGAUGGAGGAGGGGCAGAAGAAGGUGGUGGGGAAAAAAGAGCGAUGCGGGUUUUGUAAUUCUACGAAAUCAGCUUUAAGCCAUUCGGCGGAGGCCUCCCAAAGGUGUCAAUUCGUGAAGAAUUUUAAAAUGCAUGCGAUGAGUAAUAAUCCCCACGACAGACACAUAUUUUUCUUUCACCGAAGCGGCUUAAAAAACGGCGUAGUGGAAUAAGAAAAUGGGGGGCCUUUUUCGUCAUAACUUGGCCAAAAAUGGCCGCACAGCUAAAACAAAGACUGUUUUCUGCUCCUAAUAAACGUACUGUCUAAUUGGGUAUAUGGCUCACAAUUGUGGCAGAUUGAUCAGCAGCUCUAGGCCUGCUUCACAAACAGCAAAGAUACCUUCAAGUGCAGCUCGUAAAAAGAUACAAAAACAAACUCCCCGAAAAGUCGUAAAAAAUAUUUUUCGCUGCGUAUCGGCUUCUGGAGAGGAUUAGUCCUCGUCCACACUGUCUCACAGGCAAACAUCAAUAAUGGGGAAAGCAUUUACAGCAUUUACAUUUACGAGCCAAGGUGGCAAGGAACUCCAGCCCAACCAUGUGCCAUAUGGCACCUCCAUUAGCCAAAGGGCAGUGGCCAUUGGCUCUAAAAUAGAUAUGGGGAAAGGGUAUAUGCACAUUAUAUAUUUAUCUUUCGGAGCUAUAAAUACAUCAGCUAUUGGUAACCAGGGAAAUUGUCUUUGAGUUCAGCUGAAAGGGGGUUAAAUGGAGUGCGAUUAGAAAUUUAUUAAUGUAGGGUUACUUAGGGUUAAUCGAUUUUGUUUUGAAUAAUUUUGUAUUCACCGAUUCAUAUAGUACUUGUUUUUGCUAACGUGACAGUUAACUAAAAUUAGUUCCUAAAAAUGUUAGGAGCUUUAGUUUUCUGUCCAUCUUUGAUUGAAAGUGCAUUCCCACAUUCGUUAUUCACACUUCGCCCCCAGUUCAUUUCCCCAGUUAACGCGGAUUGCGUGGCGACCCGCCUUCUUUUGGAAAAUUGUUAUUUACAGCCUUAAUCUGUGCGAAAUGUAUUUGAGAGCAGAACGAACGCAUUGGCACGGAGCGGCGAGCGUAGAGAACUGCAAAGUGUUGGCAAACAAAAAGUCCAGCUUCAAUUAGCAUACCAUGGCGGUGAGCCAUAGACGAUGGCAUGGCUCCACCUCCAGCACCCCCAGUUCCUGGCCCCCAGAUCCCACUUCACUACAGUUCACUCUUUUUCCACUCGUGGGACUGCGACUGUAACUGGGACCUGGCCCAAGCUGCGAUUUUUAUGACAGGUUAAUGACACAACUACGACAAUGAUGGUGCUGCCGCUGCUGAUGAUGAAGCCAAGGCGGGAGUGCAAUACCCACAACCAGCAAAAAUACAAAACAAAAAGCUAGAACAUUAUUUUUUAAUUAACAAAUGAAAUGAGCAUUAACCAAACAAGAAAAGUAGCAAAAAAUUGAUAUAGAACGUGAGGCUCAGCGGAAUUAUAUUAGAAGGAAAAACAAGGUGAUAGCUGUUGCUGAUUCAUAAGUGAUGCACCUAAUGUAGGUUCCGAUAUAAAUCUUUUACAGCUUUGCCCGGACUUGAAUAUUGAUGCUCCUUAACUAAUGACGUCUGUAUGCUACAAUGUUCCCUAGUGUUUAUUCCAUUUUCUGCUAGUGUAUGAGUGCAAUGACUAGGUGGCUAGUCGGAUGAGUUGGCCGGCUCAGCUUGUUGCUGGCUAGCCAUUAAUCAGUACGCCCUGCGUCCAAAGGUCUGACCCCAAUAAACAUGACAGGCUCGGACUUUGGAUUACCAGGCAGGAAGAAAGGAAGACUCAGCUUUAGCGAGUUGGGGUGGGACCACACAAAGAAGCCACCGCGAAUCAAUCAAUUAAUUGCACAUUUUCUACACGAGUUCAUCGAACCCCCGAACUCCGCAGCAGCCCUUAAAUUAGGGACAAAAGAAAAGUGCCAAAGGAAAACCAGCGAAUACCAGUGAAUAAAUGUAUGGGAAAAUGAUGGGAUCGAGUGACAGGAGUGAUUGACACCCAACUGUCGUUGGUUGUCUCCUGAAAUUGGAAUAGAGUUUAGGUCUGGCUGCAGUGAUUAAGGUUCCUUUGAGGUUCAAGGAAAUGGAAAAUGCCUAACAUGAUUUAUUAUUCGAUUAUAAUGAAGUGGUUCACCAUUGGGAGACCAACUUAUAAAGCUUAGCUCUAUAAUGGAAUAAACUGAAUUUCAAUCAAGCAUAAAAUGUAUAUUUAUUGCAUAAUUUCAGGCGUAUUCCCCAGAACGAAAAGUCCAAUCUAAUUCAAUUACGAUAUUCAAACUUGGCACAUAAAACUAGUAUUUCCCAGGGGUUUUCCCUCUCAGUUCAAUGCUUACCUAGGACUAAAAAUGCGUCCUUUUGAGCGUCAGGAUAAUCCUUUUAAUUUAGGCACAGGCACACGAAAUUCGAAAUUCGGGGUGCGGCAAAAGUAGCAACAACAACAACAACAGCAGCACUGGGACUUCACGCACAUACACAAACGCACCACGCACGCACACAAAGGCAGCUGGAUACACUUGAAAAACUUUUGCCUUGGGUGGGGCGUUUUCUUCUCUCUUUUUUUUCGCUGGCUUUCGGUUAGAUUCGCAAAAAAUUUUCCAACGACGCCAUGGAAUGGAUUUGCGAUUUAAAUGUUUUAUUUGGGUGUUUUCUUUAUUUCAGCUAUCUAUAGGAUGCACUGCACUUUUGCAAUCAUUUAUAUGAUUUAGUAGACAUAAAGAUUGUUUAAAAAGUUAUAAGGGUGGUUUCACUUAGCCGCUGAAAACCAAUACAAUUUUCAAGGGCGCAUUAGAAAAUGUUUGUAAUUUGAAAAGUAUUGCAAAUAAACAAGUUACUCGAGACUUAAACACACUCUUGCUUUUUUGUAAAUGUCAUGCAAUUCAGAAAGAUAUUUUAAAACCACUAUAACAAAUUCUGUUGGGUAUGAUUAACAAAAUAUUUGAAAAUUUACAGCACGUCCACACGCGACGAUGUCAGGAUAGAAACUCCUGCCACGGUUACUGAACUUCAUCCAGGAUAUUCAGAGGGAAACUCAAGGGAAACUUUGCUUCCAAUUGGAACGGCAUAACGGGAUAGGACACCGAGUCUACACCCAAGGACUUUCGAGGUUCUUACUUUCCAGCCGGAGACUGGAUGGCGGUACAUAUACUACGGCCCAAGCCGAGCAGACUGGAGACUUUUCCCGAAAACCACAUUUGUUUUGAAACGAAUGCAGCCGGUCGCCGGAGCAGAGUAGCUCUUCCCGGGCCCCCGAUGGUGAAAAUUGCGAGCCGUUUAAUAGGCCAUCUUGUGAGACGUCAGUAUGGAUAUCGCAUUGGCAAGCAGAGGGUUAAAAUUAGAAGCGCUCAAAAAGAUUGGUUACAACACACUCUGAAGACAAGGCCAUAAAUCUAUUUUUGGUGGGCGUGGGCGUGCGAAUCUUUUCAGCGCCCCCCUCGAGGCAUUGACCGUGGAACAUGGAACCAUUGGAUCACUGAAACAUUGGGGCACUGGGAGUUACCUGAUUGACUAAUUGCCGUGGGCGUUCCGGUUGACAUCAAUCAGAAUGGGAUGGCGAAAAAAGAGAAGUGCCAAGGAAGGGAAGGGGAAGCCCAGUGGACAGACGAGUCAGGCAGCAAAUCGAACGAUUAAACGGACAAUUAAUUAGCCUCCGACCAGACAGAGACAGGGUAUAUAUACCACAUAGUAUAUAAACUAGUCAAGAUCACUUGCUGACCUUGAAGUCGCGCACAGCGGAUUAAAGGAUUAGCCCCCAAAGCGGGAUAUUCCCCAUUCUCUGGCCGCUUCCCUUUGCCACCUUUCCCCACCACUUCCAUUUCGUGUUGCAAAGCGAGAAGCGUGUACACAAACAAACGGCCCGUUGAAAAGGAGGCUUCAACCGGAGGAGCAGCCACUAUACGAUCUCUGGCAUUAUCACACUUCAACAAAAGCUAACAAGACGCAGGAGAGGCUCCAGGAGCAAAGUGCUCUGGAUACGGGUAUCGGGCGCUGGAAAAAUUUGACCUUAACAAUCCAGGGAGUGUUUUCUAAGAUCCAAAGAAUUAUCUAGUUAAUAAGUCUAGUUUUUGUUAGCUUUAUAUUCGCUUUACAUAUUAAGGGGAAUAAAUAUUUGUAAUUUCUAACUCCAAAACAAUUAAUUUUAUAUCCUCCUGCUUCAGAAAUCCGCUCCUGAUCUCCAAGGAACAUGAACGGACGCGUCUGGAACAGAGCGAAACAAAGCUAAAGCGACAAAUGCUCGUGCGACAACAACAACUGGCUGGAUCUCCUGAUCCACUCUGUCCCCUCCCCGUCUCCUACCCACCCCCUGGCACUUUAAUCAAGCGAAGCCGCUACGAAAACAGGAGCGGAGUGCGGGGGAAUGGAACG
Drosophila yakuba is the source of this 6129-nucleotide long non-coding RNA. RefSeq lists it as uncharacterized. Lineage: Eukaryota; Metazoa; Arthropoda; Insecta; Diptera; Drosophilidae. The transcript is spliced from 4 exons. The record is from RefSeq and is a predicted model, not a curated record.